Molecule: long non-coding RNA, 232 nt
Filed under: Erythranthe guttata (spotted monkey flower)
Lineage: Eukaryota; Viridiplantae; Streptophyta; Magnoliopsida; Lamiales; Phrymaceae
Description: long non-coding RNA (EGUT_LNC000232)
Source: RNAcentral
UUUCCAAGCUUCCACUUCUCAGCCCAUGAUCUGCAAGAAAACCAACUACAAGAGCACUCAAGAAAAUGGGUUAGUGGGUUAGUUAAGAAGUUAGAAAAAUAUCCACAAUUAAACCCACUAAGCACUACUUAGCCCACUAAGUCAUAACACUUAGCCCAUUAAGUCAUAACUAAAAUUUAGUUUGAAAGUAAGAGAGUUAAAAACACUUUUGUGGAAAACCCACGUGUUUCAA